This is a long non-coding RNA of Gopherus flavomarginatus (Mexican gopher tortoise), 367 nucleotides long. RefSeq lists it as uncharacterized. The record is from RefSeq and is a predicted model, not a curated record. The transcript is spliced from 3 exons. NCBI's taxonomy places the organism in Eukaryota, Metazoa, Chordata, Testudines, Testudinidae.
GAAUCCCCUCCCCCACAUCGGUAACGCCCCUAUAGAGUCCCCUCCCCCACCUCGGUAACAUCCCAUAGAGCCCCUCCCCCACAUCGGUAACGCCCCUAUAGAGUCCCCCCGCCACACCCCAUAGAUCCCCUCCCCCACAUCGGUAACACCCCUAUAGAGUCCCCCCGCCACACCCCAUAGAGUCCCCUCCCCCACAUCAGUAACGCCCCUAUAGAGUCCCCUCCCCCACAUCGGUAACACCCCUAUAGAGUCCCCCCGCCACACCCCAUAGAUCUCCUCCCCCACAUCGGUAAUGCCCCUAUAGAGUCCCCCCACCACACCCCAUAGAGUCUCCUCCCCCACCUCGGUAACGCUCCUAUAGAGUCUC